AACAGCGUAAUUUUUUUAGAGAGUUCAUAUCGAUAAAAAAGUUUGCGACCUCGAUGUUG
This 59-nucleotide transfer RNA is filed under the name Calleida angusticollis. RNAcentral's name for it is "tRNA-Trp". Lineage: Eukaryota; Metazoa; Arthropoda; Insecta; Coleoptera; Carabidae. The record is from RNAcentral.